This 497-nucleotide ribosomal RNA is filed under the name uncultured bacterium. Its description in RNAcentral is "partial 16S ribosomal RNA". It matches the Rfam family "Bacterial small subunit ribosomal RNA", at positions 28 to 507 of the family's 1533-position model. The record is from RNAcentral.
GAUGUACGCUGGCGGCGUGCCUAAUACAUGCAAGUCGAGCGAACGGACGAGAAGCUUGCUUUUCUGAUGUUAGCGGCGGACGGGUGAGUAACACGUGGAUAACCUACCUAUAAGACUGGGAUAACUUCGGGAAACCGGAGCUAAUACCGGAUAAUAUUUUGAACCGCAUGGUUCAAAAGUGAAAGACGGUCUUGCUGUCACUUAUAGAUGGAUCCGCGCUGCAUUAGCUAGUUGGUAAGGUAACGGCUUACCAAGGCAACGAUGCAUAGCCGACCUGAGAGGGUGAUCGGCCACACUGGAACUGAGACACGGUCCAGACUCCUACGGGAGGCAGCAGUAGGGAAUCUUCCGCAAUGGGCGAAAGCCUGACGGAGCAACGCCGCGUGAGUGAUGAAGGUCUUCGGAUCGUAAAACUCUGUUAUUAGGGAAGAACAUAUGUGUAAGUAACUGUGCACAUCUUGACGGUACCUAAUCAGAAAGCCACGGCUAACUACGUG